AAGUCGUAACAAGGUAACCGUAGGUGAACCUGCGGUUGGAUCAUUACUGAUUUCUUGGUCUGGGGUGAGCUCUUUGAGAUCCCCCAGUACCAUAAACACUUGUGCACCUUUGUGUAUUUGGGUUGUUUGAUUGGGGAAACCUGAACAGACAGCCCAACUGUGAAAACAAACCUUUAUUUUUUGACUGAAAUUCUAUAUAAAUAGAAACAACUUUUGACAACGGAUCUCUUGGCUCUC
RNAcentral lists this unclassified non-coding RNA (237 nucleotides) under fungal sp. RNAcentral's name for it is "partial internal transcribed spacer region". The stretch from base 1 to 46 matches the Rfam family "Eukaryotic small subunit ribosomal RNA", at positions 1786 to 1831 of the family's 1831-position model. The record is from RNAcentral. RNAcentral also lists the same sequence under 1 other name. Lineage: Eukaryota; Fungi.